GCUCACCAAGGUCGAUGACGGGUAGCGGGUCUGAGAGGAUGAUCCGCCACACUGGUACUGAGACACGGACCAGACUCCUACGGGAGGCAGCAUUGAGGAAUAUUGCACAAUGGGGGAAACCCUGAUGCAGCAACGCCGUCGUGGAGGAUGACGCAUUUCGGUGUGUAAACUCCUUUUAUAUAGAUAAGAAGAUGACGGUACUAUAUGAAUAAGCACCGGCUAACUCCGUGCCAGCAGCCGCGGUAUAUACGGAGGGUGCAAGCGUUAUCUCUGGACAUCACUGGGCGUAAAGCGACGCGUAGGCUGUUUAGCAAGUCAGAUGUGAUAAUCCUAUGGCUUAACCAUAGAACUGCAUUUGAAACUGCUAGACUAGAGUAUGGGAGGGGGAGAUGGAAUUAGUGGUGUAGGGGUAAAAUCCGUAGAUAUCACUAGGAACACCCAAAGCGAAGGCGAUCUCCUGGAACAUUACUGACGCUAAGGCGUGAAAGCGUGGGGAGCAAACAGGAUUAGAUACCCUGGUAGUCCACGCCCUAAACGAUGAACACUAUUCGUCGGGGUGCUUGUCAUCUCGGUGAUGCAGUUAACACAUUAAGUGUUCCGCCUGGGAGUACGGUCGCAACGAUUAAAACUCAAAGGAAUAGACGGGGACCCGCACAAGUGGUGGAGCAUGUGGUUUAAUUCGAUAGAUACGCGAAGAACCUUACCUGGCCUUGACAUUGAUAGAAUCCUGUAGAGAUACGGGAGUGCCCUUCGGGGAGCUUGAAAACAGGUGCUGCACGGCUGUCGUCAGCUCGUGUCGUGAGAUGUUGGGUUAAGUCCCGCAACGAGCGCAACCCUCGUCCUUAGUUGCCAGCAGUUCGGCUGGGCACUCUAAGGAGACUGCCUACGCAAGUAGGAGGAAGGUGAGGACGACGUCAAGUCAUCAUGGCCCUUACGGCCAGGGCUACACACGUGCUACAAUGGGGCGUACAGAGAGUUGCGAUACCGCGAGGUGGAGCUAAUCUCAUAAAGCGUCUCUCAGUUCGGAUUGUUCUCUGCAACUCGAGAGCAUGAAGCUGGAAUCACUAGUAAUCGUAGAUCAGCUAUGCUACGGUGAAUACGUUCCCGGGUCUUGUACUCACCGCCCGUCACACCAUGGGAGUUGAUUUCGCCCGAAAUCGGGAUGCCAAACCGGCUACCGCUUACGGUGGAA
RNAcentral lists this ribosomal RNA (1192 nucleotides) under uncultured bacterium. Its description in RNAcentral is "bacterial SSU rRNA". It matches the Rfam family "Bacterial small subunit ribosomal RNA", at positions 263 to 1467 of the family's 1533-position model. The record is from RNAcentral.